RNAcentral lists this ribosomal RNA (793 nucleotides) under uncultured bacterium. RNAcentral describes it as "bacterial SSU rRNA". It matches the Rfam family "Bacterial small subunit ribosomal RNA", at positions 8 to 792 of the family's 1533-position model. The record is from RNAcentral.
AGAGUUUGAUCAUGGCUCAGGAUGAACGCUAGCUACAGGCUUAACACAUGCAAGUCGAGGGGCAGCAUGAUUCCAGCUUGCUGGAAUUGAUGGCAACCGGCGCACGGGUGAGUAACGCGUAUCCAACCUACCGUAUACUCAGGGAUAGCCUUCCGAAAGGGAGAUUAACACCUGAUAGAAUCUAAAGAUCUCAUGGUUUUAAGAUUAAAUGUAAAGGUAUAUGAUGGGGAUGCGUUCCAUUAGAUAGUAGGCGGGGUAACGGCCCACCUAGUCGACGAUGGAUAGGGGUUCUGAGAGGAAGGUCCCCCACAUUGGAACUGAGACACGGUCCAAACUCCUACGGGAGGCAGCAGUGAGGAAUAUUGGUCAAUGGAUGAGAAUCUGAACCAGCCAAGUAGCGUGAAGGAUGACGGCCCUACGGGUUGUAAACUUCUUUUGAAAGGGAAUAAAGUGUGGUACGUGUACCAUAUUGUAUGUACCUUUGGAAUAAGCAUCGGCUAACUCCGUGCCAGCAGCCGCGGUAAUACGGAGGAUGCGAGCGUUAUCCGGAUUUAUUGGGUUUAAAGGGUGCGUAGGCGGACGCUUAAGUCAGUUGUGAAAGUUCGAGGCUCAACCUUGGAAUUGCAAUUGAUACUGGUCGUCUAGAGAUUACAUAAGGUAGGCGGAAUUCGUGGUGUAGCGGUGAAAUGCUUAGAUAUCACGAAGAACUCCAAUUGCGAAGGCAGCUUGCCGGGGUACAUCUGACGCUGAGGCACGAAAGUAUGGGUAUCAAACAGGAAUAGAUACCCUGGUA